UACGUAGGGUGCAAGCGUUGUCCGGAAUUAUUGGGCGUAAAGGGCUCGUAGGCGGUCCGUCACGUCGGGAGUGAAAACUUGGGGCUUAACCCCAAGCCUGCUUCCGAUACGGGCGGACUAGAGGUAGGCAGGGGAGAACGGAAUUCCUGGUGUAGCGGUGAAAUGCGCAGAUAUCAGGAAGAACACCCGUGGCGAAGGCGGCUCUCUGGGACGGUACUGACGCUGAGACGCGAAAGCGUGGGGAGCGAACAGG
RNAcentral lists this ribosomal RNA (253 nucleotides) under uncultured bacterium. RNAcentral describes it as "partial 16S ribosomal RNA". It matches the Rfam family "Bacterial small subunit ribosomal RNA", at positions 524 to 776 of the family's 1533-position model. The record is from RNAcentral.